RNAcentral lists this non-coding RNA (248 nucleotides) under Dracunculus medinensis (Guinea worm). RNAcentral's name for it is "Eukaryotic large subunit ribosomal RNA". It matches the Rfam family "Eukaryotic large subunit ribosomal RNA", at positions 2425 to 2587 of the family's 3401-position model. The record is from Rfam by way of RNAcentral. Lineage: Eukaryota; Metazoa; Nematoda; Chromadorea; Rhabditida; Dracunculidae.
ACUCUAGUCUGACUCUGUGAAGAGUCAUGAGAGGUGUAGCAUAAGUGGGAGGUUAUGAAAAAAAAAAUUUUUUUUUCUUAGCCGGCGGUGAAAUAUACCAUUACUUUCAACGAUUCUUUACUUAUUCGGUAAGACGAGAAUUGAGCUAUAUUCAUCGCCUCUCUAAUAUCUAAGAUCGCUCAUUUCAAUUGUAAAAUGUUUUAAAUUUGCAGCGCUAGAAAUUGAUUUAAAUAAUUUCGGGUGAAAGU